GUCGGAUUAGCUAGUUGGUGAGGUAAUGGCUCACCAAGGCGACGAUCCGUAACUGGUCUGAGAGGAUGAUCAGUCACACUGGAACUGAGACACGGUCCAGACUCCUACGGGAGGCAGCAGUGGGGAAUAUUGGACAAUGGGCGAAAGCCUGAUCCAGCCAUGCCGCGUGUGUGAAGAAGGUCUUCGGAUUGUAAAGCACUUUAAGUUGGGAGGAAGGGCAGUUACCUAAUACUUAUCUGUUUUGACGUUACCGACAGAAUAAGCACCGGCUAACUCUGUGCCAGCAGCCGCGGUAAUACAGAGGGUGCAAGCGUUAAUCGGAAUUACUGGGCGUAAAGCGCGCGUAGGUGGUUUGUUAAGUUGGAUGUGAAAUCCCCGGGCUCAACCUGGGAACUGCAUUCAAAACUGACAA
RNAcentral lists this ribosomal RNA (412 nucleotides) under Pseudomonas sp. A8-1. RNAcentral's name for it is "bacterial SSU rRNA". It matches the Rfam family "Bacterial small subunit ribosomal RNA", at positions 235 to 639 of the family's 1533-position model. Lineage: Bacteria; Pseudomonadati; Pseudomonadota; Gammaproteobacteria; Pseudomonadales; Pseudomonadaceae. The record is from RNAcentral.